UACGAAGGGGGCUAGCGUUGCUCGGAAUUACUGGGCGUAAAGCGCACGUAGGCGGAUUGUUAAGUCGGGGGUGAAAUCCUGGAGCUCAACUCCAGAACUGCCUUCGAUACUGGCGAUCUCGAGUUCGGGAGAGGUGAGUGGAACUGCGAGUGUAGAGGUGAAAUUCGUAGAUAUCGCAAGAACACCAGUGGCGAAGGCGGCUCACUGGCCCGAUACUGACGCUGAGGUGCGAAAGCGUGGGGAGCAAACAGG
Molecule: ribosomal RNA, 252 nt
Filed under: uncultured bacterium
Lineage: Bacteria
Description: partial 16S ribosomal RNA
Rfam family: Bacterial small subunit ribosomal RNA
Source: RNAcentral